GACGUAGGGGGCGAGCGUUGUCCGGAAUUACUGGGCGUAAAGAGCACGUAGGCGGGAACUUAAGUCAGGUGUGAAAGACCGGGGCUCAACUCCGGGGUUGCACUUGAAACUGGGUUUCUUGAGGGCAGGAGAGGAAAGCAGAAUUCCUGGUGUAGCGGUGAAAUGCGUAGAAAUCAGGAGGAAUACCAGUGGCGAAGGCGGCUUUCUGGACUGACCCUGACGCUGAGGUGCGAAAGCGUGGGUAGCAAACAGGAUUAGAUACCCUGGUAGUCCACGCCGUAAACGAUGGAUACUAGGUGUAGGAGGUAUCGACCCCUUCUGUGCCGCAGCUAACGCAAUAAGUAUCCCGCCUGGGGAGUACGGUCGCAAGGCUGAA
This 376-nucleotide ribosomal RNA is filed under the name uncultured bacterium. RNAcentral describes it as "bacterial SSU rRNA". It matches the Rfam family "Bacterial small subunit ribosomal RNA", at positions 524 to 898 of the family's 1533-position model. The record is from RNAcentral.